RNAcentral lists this non-coding RNA (29 nucleotides) under Rattus norvegicus (Norway rat). The record is from RNAcentral. Lineage: Eukaryota; Metazoa; Chordata; Mammalia; Rodentia; Muridae.
UCCUAGUUGCCUGCAGGGAUGCCCAGAGC